Molecule: ribosomal RNA, 373 nt
Filed under: uncultured organism
Description: partial 16S ribosomal RNA
Rfam family: Bacterial small subunit ribosomal RNA
Source: RNAcentral
GUAGGUGGCAAGCGUUGUCCGGAAUUAUUGGGCGUAAAGCGCGCGCAGGCGGUUCCUUAAGUCUGAUGUGAAAGCCCACGGCUCAACCGUGGAGGGUCAUUGGAAACUGGAGAACUUGAGUACAGAAGAGGAAAGCGGAAUCCACGUGUAGCGGUGAAAUGCGUAGAGAUGUGGAGGAACACCAGUGGCGAAGGCGGCUUUCUGGUCUGUAACUGACGCUGAGGCGCGAAAGCGUGGGGAGCAAACAGGGAUUAGAUACCCUGGUAGUCCACGCCGUAAACGAUGAGUGCUAAGUGUUAGGGGGGUUUCCGCCCCCUUAGUGCUGCAGCUAACGCAUUAAGCACUCCGCCUGGGGAGUACGGCCGCAAGGCUG